UGGGGAAUAUUGCACAAUGGGCGAAAGCCUGAUGCAGCAACGCCGCGUGAGUGAUGAAGGCCUUCGGGUUGUAAAGCUCUGUCUUUUGGGACGAUAAUGACGGUACCAAAGGAGGAAGCCACGGCUAACUACGUGCCAGCAGCCGCGGUAAUACGUAGGUGGCAAGCGUUGUCCGGAUUUACUGGGCGUAAAGGAUGCGUAGGCGGAUUUUUAAGUGAGAUGUGAAAACCCUAAGCUUAACUUGGGGACUGCAUUUCAUACUGGAAAUCUAGAGUGCGGGAGAGGAGAAUGGAAUUCCUAGUGUAGCGGUGAAAUGCGUAGAGAUUAGGAAGAACACCAGUGGCGAAGGCGAUUCUCUGGACCGUAACUGACGCUGAGGCAUGAAAGCGUGGGUAGCAAACAGGAUUAGAUACCCUGGUAGUCCACGCCGUAAACGAUGAGUACUAGGUGUAGGAGGUAUCGACCCCUUCUGUGCCGCGUUAACACAAUAAGUACUCCGCCUGGGAAGUACGAUCGCAAGAUUAAAACUCAAAUGAAUUGACGGGGUCAUAGCUG
RNAcentral lists this ribosomal RNA (555 nucleotides) under uncultured bacterium. RNAcentral's name for it is "partial 16S ribosomal RNA". It matches the Rfam family "Bacterial small subunit ribosomal RNA", at positions 355 to 932 of the family's 1533-position model. The record is from RNAcentral.